Molecule: ribosomal RNA, 876 nt
Filed under: uncultured organism
Description: bacterial SSU rRNA
Rfam family: Bacterial small subunit ribosomal RNA
Source: RNAcentral
UCAGAACGAACGCUGGCGGCGCGUAUAAGCAUGCAAGUCGGACGGUAGAAAGGUGCUUGCACUUUUGAGAGUGGCGAACGGGUGAGUAACACGUAGAUAAUCUACCAUAGGAUUGGGGAUAGCCCAUGGAAACAUGGAUUAAUACCGAAUAAGCCUUCAUUAUCAUAAGGUGAUGAAGGGAAAGGCGCUGAGGCGCCGUCCUUUGAUGAGUCUGCGGUCCAUUAGUUAGUUGGUGGGGUAACGGCCUACCAAGGCACCGAUGGAUAGCCGGCCUGAGAGGGUGAGCGGCCACACUGGGACUGAGAUACGGCCCAGACUCCUACGGGAGGCAGCAGCUAAGAAUCUUCUACAAUGGACGAAAGUCUGAUAGAGCGACGCCGCGUGGGUGAUGAAGGCCCGGAAGGUUGUAAAGCCCUUUUCUAUUCGAGGAAUAAGGUGUGGAGGCAAUGCCACACUGAUGACGGUAGGGUAGGAAUAAGCCCCGGCCAAUUACGUGCCAGCAGCCGCGGUAACACGUAUGGGGCGAGCGUUGUUCGGAAUCAUUGGGCGUAAAGGGCGCGUAGGCGGAUAUGCAAGCCUGGUGUGAAAGACCGCAGCUCAACUGCGGGAGCGCGCUGAGAACUGCAUAUCUUGAGUUCAAGAGGGGAAGCUGGAAUUCCAGGUGUAGGGGUGAAAUCUGUAGAUAUCUGGAAGAACAUCAGUGGCGAAGGCGAGCUUCUGGCUUUGAACUGACGCUGAGGCGCGAAAGCGUGGGGAGCGAACAGGAUUAGAUACCCUGGUAGUCCACGCUGUAAACGAUGUGCACUAGGUGUUGGGCCGUUGAAGGCUCAGUGCCGUAGCUAACGCGUUAAGUGCACCGCCUGGGGAGUAUGCUCG